AGUGAACGCUGGCGGUAGGCCUAACACAUGCAAGUCGAACGGCAGCACAGUAAGAGCUUGCUCUUACGGGUGGCGAGUGGCGGACGGGUGAGGAAUACAUCGGAAUCUACUUUUUCGUGGGGGAUAACGUAGGGAAACUUACGCUAAUACCGCAUACGCCCUACGGGUGAAAGCAGGGGAUCUUCGGACCUUGCGCGAUUGAAUGAGCCGAUGUCGGAUUAGCUAGUUGGUGGGGUAAAGGCCCACCCAGGCGACGAUCCGUAGCUGGACUGAGAGGCGGGUCAGCCACACUGGAACUGAGACACGGUCCAGACUCCUACGGGAGGCAGCAGUGGGGAAUAUUGGACAAUGGGCGCAAGCCUGAUCCAGCCAGACCGCGUGGGUGAAGAAGGCCUUCGGGUUGGAAAGCCCGUUUGUUGGGAAAGAAAAGCAGCAGGUUAAUACCCCGCUGGUCUGACGGUAACCAAAGAAGAAGCACCGGCUAACUUCGUG
RNAcentral lists this ribosomal RNA (492 nucleotides) under uncultured bacterium. RNAcentral's name for it is "partial 16S ribosomal RNA". It matches the Rfam family "Bacterial small subunit ribosomal RNA", at positions 29 to 507 of the family's 1533-position model. The record is from RNAcentral.